This 58-nucleotide transfer RNA is filed under the name Mesocricetus auratus (golden hamster). It matches the Rfam family "tRNA", at positions 8 to 63 of the family's 71-position model. Rfam says of the family: Transfer RNA (tRNA) molecules are approximately 80 nucleotides in length. Their secondary structure includes four short double-helical elements and three loops (D, anti-codon, and T loops). Further hydrogen bonds mediate the characteristic L-shaped molecular structure. tRNAs have two regions of fundamental functional importance: the anti-codon, which is responsible for specific mRNA codon recognition, and the 3' end, to which the tRNAs corresponding amino acid is attached (by aminoacyl-tRNA synthetases). tRNAs cope with the degeneracy of the genetic code in two manners: having more than one tRNA (with a specific anti-codon) for a particular amino acid; and 'wobble' base-pairing, i.e. permitting non-standard base-pairing at the 3rd anti-codon position. Lineage: Eukaryota; Metazoa; Chordata; Mammalia; Rodentia; Cricetidae. The record is from Rfam by way of RNAcentral.
UAGCUCAGUUGGUAGAGCAUGAUACUCUUAAUCUCAGGGUCAUGGGUUUGGGCCCCAU